GCCGAGAUGGCGGAAUUGGUAGACGCGCCAGCUUCAGGUGCUGGUGGGGGUAUCCCCCGUGAAGGUUCAAGUCCUUUUCUCGGCA
RNAcentral lists this transfer RNA (85 nucleotides) under Candidatus Parabeggiatoa sp. HSG14. Its description in RNAcentral is "tRNA-Leu". It matches the Rfam family "tRNA". Rfam says of the family: Transfer RNA (tRNA) molecules are approximately 80 nucleotides in length. The record is from RNAcentral. Lineage: Bacteria; Pseudomonadati; Pseudomonadota; Gammaproteobacteria; Thiotrichales; Thiotrichaceae. RNAcentral also lists the same sequence under 1 other name.